RNAcentral lists this long non-coding RNA (754 nucleotides) under Homo sapiens (human). Its description in RNAcentral is "R3HDML antisense RNA 1 (R3HDML-AS1)". The record is from RNAcentral. Lineage: Eukaryota; Metazoa; Chordata; Mammalia; Primates; Hominidae.
UCUUCCUUUCAUCUAACAUAUUUAUUGAGCACCUACUAUGUACCAGGCCUUGUGCUAGACUCUGGGGAUAUGGAAAUGAGCAAAGUAGAUGUACCCCCGAAACUUGUGGACUAAUGGAGGAGACGGACCUUAAUCAGAUCGUCAUUCAAAGAUACUAUUACAAACUGUUCUGAGAGCCGAGGAAGCAGGAAGGAGCUGUGAGAGACUGAGCUCUAACCUUGGCCAUCAAAGACAAGCUGUGCAGCUCUGGUUUUUUGAGGGCAGGACAUGGAGGGUCAGGCCCAGCUGGAGGCGCACCAAAGCCCAGAGAAAAUUCAGAACCACGUGAACUUGUUGGAUUUCAGCCCCUUGAAGCACAUGUUGCUAUUGCAGCUGCCUUGAUAACUGGGGGGACAGGAGGAGCACGGCUUUCCCAUCUUGUACGGGGACUCGCCAAUCCAGUUGCCCCUGGAAGAGAAAAGGACCCAGGGAGACAGAGGAGCAUUAGGCUACUAAUGACUUCAAGAACAUCAGAAUAAUACAAUAGAAAGAAUUUGGAAUUUGGAAUCAAAAGACUGAUUCUUCUGAACCAGCUCUACUACUUGUUGGCUUUGUGACAUUUGGUAAAUUACUCAACCUGCCUGAGCCUCAAUUUCUUAAUUUGUAAAAAGAAUGUCCUCCUAGGGUUCCCCCCUUUUUCCUUCUUUCUUUCAUCUCUUCAAUGAGAUAGUGUGAAAGUAGUUUGUAAAUGAUUAAAGGCUAUGUGACAGUAAAA